AUUCGGGCCGGCGGAGCCGCGCGGGUGUCCUGCAGGUGUGCCGGGUGUGUUUUACUCAGGGAGAGACAUGAACCUCCGGUUGGCAUCACAGACCCUCUUGAAGCGUGAUUUACUCUGCGGAUCUGGCUCGGCUGCAGGAGGACGGCGUGCACACACGCGUGUUCCACCUGAUUACCGCCGCGGAGCCUCGCCAGGCGGGACCUCUGGAAGUGCCAGCGGAUCAUCGCCAUCUUGCAUUUGUUUUUGGAGGCCUCUACCUGUGAGUCCUGAACACGGCUCUUCCCUCAAAGCCCGCGGCGCUCUCCUCCGUCCCUCCGCCGCUGUGAUGGACUCCGGGGUCACGACUCGCUUCCUGCUGGAAACUCGCUUUUCCCUGAGAGGAGUCGUGAGAGGGACGGAGACACAGCACCAACUCGGCGAUGAACACGCAGGACCUGCUCUACAAUUACAGUUUAAACAGGGUUCGUACGGUCAUGGAAAACCUGGAAAAGUCAUGAAAUUUUGAAAUGCUCAUUUCCAGGCCUGGAAAAGUCAUGGAAAAAAAUAAAAUCCCAAAAGUCAUGGAAAUGUGUUAUAUUCAUAUUUUUGUUGUUCAUUUACGCUGAAUUUUAAAUCAUUUAAUUUGAUUUUAAAGUAAAGAUAUAAGCAGGCAUACGCUCUCAUACUCGCAG
This is a long non-coding RNA of Gasterosteus aculeatus aculeatus (three-spined stickleback), 671 nucleotides long. The record is from Ensembl. Lineage: Eukaryota; Metazoa; Chordata; Actinopteri; Perciformes; Gasterosteidae.